RNAcentral lists this ribosomal RNA (506 nucleotides) under uncultured bacterium. RNAcentral describes it as "partial 16S ribosomal RNA". It matches the Rfam family "Bacterial small subunit ribosomal RNA", at positions 30 to 523 of the family's 1533-position model. The record is from RNAcentral.
AUUGAACGCUGGCGGCAGGCCUAACACAUGCAAGUCGAACGGUAACAGGAAACAGCUUGCUGUUUCGCUGACGAGUGGCGGACGGGUGAGUAAUGUCUGGGAAACUGCCUGAUGGAGGGGGAUAACUACUGGAAACGGUAGCUAAUACCGCAUAACGUCGCAAGACCAAAGAGGGGGACCUUCGGGCCUCUUGCCAUCGGAUGUGCCCAGAUGGGAUUAGCUAGUAGGUGGGGUAACGGCGCACCUAGGCGACGAUCCCUAGCUGGUCUGAGAGGAUGACCGGCCACACUGGAACUGGUACACGGUCCAGACUCCUACGGGAGGCAGCAGUGGGGAAUAUUGCACAAUGGGCGCAAGCCUGAUGCAGCCAUGCCGCGUGUAUGAAGAAGGCCUUCGGGUUGUAAAGUACUUUCAGCGGGGAGGAAGGGAGUAAAGUCAAUACCUUUGCUCAUUGACGUUACCCGCAGAAGAAGCACCGGCUAACUCCGUGCCAGCCGCCGCCGUAA